Molecule: ribosomal RNA, 492 nt
Filed under: uncultured bacterium
Lineage: Bacteria
Description: partial 16S ribosomal RNA
Rfam family: Bacterial small subunit ribosomal RNA
Source: RNAcentral
AGUGAACGCUGGCGGUAGGCCUAACACAUGCAAGUCGAACGGCAGCACAGUAAGAGCUUGCUCUUACGGGUGGCGAGUGGCGGACGGGUGAGGAAUACAUCGGAAUCUACUUUUUCGUGGGGGAUAACGUAGGGAAACUUACGCUAAUACCGCAUACGACCUCCGGGUGACAGCAGGUGAUCUUCGGACCUUUCGCCAUUGAAUGAGCCGAUGUCGGAUUAGCUAGUUGGCGGGGUAAACGCCCACCAAGGCGACGAUCCGUAGCUGGUCUGAGAGGAUGAUGCGCCACACUAGAACGUAGACACAGUCCAGACUCCUACGGGAGGCCGCAGUGGGGAAUAUUGGACAAUGGGCGCAAGCCUGAUCCAGCCAUACCGCGUGGGUGAAGAAGGCCUUCGGGUGGUAAAGCCCUUUUGUUGGGAAAGAAAAGCAGCAGGUUAAUACCCCGCUGUUCUGACGGUACCCAAAGAAUAAGCACCGGCUAACUUCGUG